Molecule: ribosomal RNA, 201 nt
Filed under: Triticum aestivum (bread wheat)
Lineage: Eukaryota; Viridiplantae; Streptophyta; Magnoliopsida; Poales; Poaceae
Description: partial small subunit ribosomal RNA
Source: RNAcentral
CUUGGGAAGCGUAGAACCCUUUUCUCGGGCCGCAAUUUUAUUUAUACAGAUGAUGCCGUGGCUUACAAGUAGAUCGAUCAAGAGUUUGAUCGAGAGUUUACAGAGAAGGUCGGUAAAGAGAGGGAGAAACAGAAGAAGAGAUAGAACAGGUUUCCAGGAGUUUAAACCUCUAGUCCUAUCCUAUUACAAAGUAUUUCAACA